Molecule: ribosomal RNA, 327 nt
Filed under: uncultured soil bacterium
Lineage: Bacteria
Description: bacterial SSU rRNA
Rfam family: Bacterial small subunit ribosomal RNA
Source: RNAcentral
AGAUUGAACGCUGGCGGCAUGCCUUACACAUGCAAGUCGAACGGCAGCACGGGAGCAAUCCUGGUGGCGAGUGGCGAACGGGUGAGUAAUACAUCGGAACGUGCCCAAUCGUGGGGGAUAACGCAGCGAAAGCUGUGCUAAUACCGCAUAAGAUCUACGGAUGAAAGCAGGGGAUCGCAAGACCUUGCGCGAAUGGAGCGGCCGAUGGCAGAUUAGGUAGUUGGUGAGGUAAAGGCUCACCAAGCCUUCGAUCUGUAGCUGGUCUGAGACGGACGACCAGCCACACUGGGACUGAGACACGGCCCAGACUCCGUACGGGAGGCAGGC